Molecule: long non-coding RNA, 802 nt
Organism: Panicum virgatum (switchgrass)
Lineage: Eukaryota; Viridiplantae; Streptophyta; Magnoliopsida; Poales; Poaceae
Exons: 4
Source: RefSeq, a predicted model, not a curated record
AGUUGACCUCAAGCUCUAGAUAGUCUUGAACAUCUGAAAGAUUCAAAAGUCUUCAUUACAACACUGCAGGUCUUCUCCAGAAUGGAAGAAAUUUAUCUGAACCAUGACCCUCUAGAGAGUAUACUGGAUGGAAGGACCAACCCAACAAAUUUACCAUUACCAUAUUUACGAUACAUAACCCAAAAUUUCUCCGGGGAGUGAAAAAUCGGAAGUGGUGGGUUCGCAGAUGUUUACAAGGGGCUGCUCAGCAACAACAGGAUUGUUGCUGUGAAGAAGCUUUCCAAUGAACAGACAAUCACAGAGGAGACAUUUUAUCGCGAGGUUGAUAAUCUAAUGGAAGUUAAGCACAAGAAUAUGGUACAGUUUCUAGGCUUCUGUGCUAAUACAGAGGACAUACCUGUGAAAGACCCAGAAUUAGAAGAAAAAUAUGUUUAUGCGGAGCAGAGGGAAAGAUUGCUAUGCUUUGAAUAUAUAAGCAAUGGAAGUCUUGACAGAUAUCUUAGUGGUGAAUUAAGAGGACUUGAAUGGAAUGCUCGUUAUCAAAUAAUUAGGAAUAUUUGUGAAGGAUUACGGUAUCUCCAUGAGGACAAACAUAUGAUUCAUAGGGAUCUCAAGCCUCAAAAUGUAUUGUGAAACAGAUCGGGUUCCCGAGAGGAGAACCCGACUCUCUGUAUCGUCGUGAUAGUCCCUGGAUCAGUAGCUAUCACAUACAGAACUCCUUUCAAUUGAAUAUCACAGACAUAAUUCACGUUUACAACAUCACAUGUGUUUAUUUAUUACAUAAUCCAAAGGAUUGUAAUAC